GCCAAGCUGGCUCAGUUAGUAGAGCAUGACACUCUUAUUCUCAGGAUUGUGGGUUUGAGACCUAGGUUGCGUG
Non-coding RNA from Pangasius djambal, 73 nucleotides. Lineage: Eukaryota; Metazoa; Chordata; Actinopteri; Siluriformes; Pangasiidae. The record is from the annotation of a GenBank genome assembly.